UAUAAGAGAUUUUGAGUUUUUACAUGCAACGUUUGAACACUCGUCUUAUUUAAAAUUUUUGAAAUUAUUAUUUAUUUUAUUUGUGACUUACUUUAUUAUCUACAGUACUUUAAGACAACUUUUCAUUUUUUAUAUUUGUAAAAAAAAUUUAAAUAAGACGAGUGGUCAAAUGUUGCAAGCAAAAACUCAAAAUCCCUUAUA
This 201-nucleotide microRNA precursor is filed under the name Oryza sativa Japonica Group (Japanese rice). RNAcentral's name for it is "MIR812 microRNA precursor family". It matches the Rfam family "MIR812 microRNA precursor family". Lineage: Eukaryota; Viridiplantae; Streptophyta; Magnoliopsida; Poales; Poaceae. The record is from Rfam by way of RNAcentral.